This 1331-nucleotide long non-coding RNA is filed under the name Drosophila guanche. Lineage: Eukaryota; Metazoa; Arthropoda; Insecta; Diptera; Drosophilidae. The record is from RNAcentral.
GAUAGAGUGACUCGGCGGGGAAUUGAUGAAAAGGCAUUGUCAAGGCCCUACUCUGGGCUUACAAUGCUCGCAACUCGAAGAAAUCGAGUAUCCCGAGCUGUUAUUCCAUAGAUGUGUGUGCAUAUGCACAGAGGCUUUGAUCUAUCUCUGGCACGGCCUCAACAUGAAUGGGGCCAGGAACUUGUCUAACAAUUUGACGCUUUAAUCCGUCCCUCAAUGACGACAGACAGACAGUCGGAAAGGAGGAGAAUGAUGGGAUGGCAAAACUGAAAAAAAACUCAAACAGCUCCAGUCUGUCUUCGCUUCAGUUCGCUCAGCCAAAAGCAAGCUGAGAUUCAUUCAAACUGCCAUGGCUAUCCACGUCUCAUUCCUUCUCUAUGUGUGGAGCUCUCAGCUGUGUGCUGGCUGUCUUUUAUGUCUUUCAUUUCUUUCUGGUGUCGUAUUAUGGUAAUUCGCAACGAGUCCGAUUAGAGGAUCCACGAACAUGUGGAAGAACGAGUUUCCCUUGCUACAGCUGAGCCUGCUCCCAUUCUGUUUGUAACUGAAUAAAAAAAUCUAUUAUAUACUUAUUAUUAAACUAAUCAGCAUGCAAAGGCAAAGGAUUAAAUUAAAUCAUUUAAAACUGAUUGUUGUCUGAAAAGAGCUCAGAGUCGGGCCAGAAAAGACUUCACAUUCUGGUUUGUUUAAGGUGCAAUUGCUUUUGCUUCUCGCUGUUGGUCCUGGCAAAUGAGCUGGCCAAUGAGUGCCAGUGGGACGCUGGGACCAACUGGAAUGAUGCGCUCUGUGUCGCAUCUGCCACAAGCUGACACUGAACUGGCAGCUGCUCUUGACCAGAGCAAGCCAGAUGGGGUGGAAGCAGAUUGCUUCAGGAUUGCAGUCCACAGUCUCUUUGCCUUAGUUGUCUGUGUGCUGAUUUGCCACUUGAGACCUGUGUGCCCGGCCAUAAUUUAAUAUCAUGCGAAAUGAGUUUAUGGCAAUUGCAAUUUUAUUUGCAUGGCCAGCACUCAAACCUCAAUGAACACCGACUUACAUACACAGGGACAUGUGCAUGGCCAGAGCUGGGAGUUUGUCGCUGAUUCGAUUUGAGUUUCUCAGUUAAUCAAUUGAUUUUUCCUUCUGCAUUUGCAUUUGUGUGUUACCUGUGGAGCUGUGACCAACAGCUUCCAUUCCACUUGCAUUUCUUUCUAUCAUAAAUUGCACAUUGAUUUCUAUUGGCAUUUUCUCGACUUGUAUUGCAUUGAGUGCCUCGAAUGUAAUGUUGCUGUGGCAACUGAAUUCAAGUUUCCCACUUCUCCCCCAUUGUCUCGCCUUGAGCGUUUCCUUCCUUUAUG